AUGAACGCUGGCGGCGUGCUUAACACCUGCAAGUCGAACGAAGCACUUUAUUUGAUUUCCUUCGGGACUGAUUAUUUUGUGACUGAGUGGCGGACGGGUGAGUAACGCGUGGGUAACCUGCCUUGUACAGGGGGAUAACAGUUGGAAACGGCUGCUAAUACCGCAUAAGCGCACGGCAUCGCAUGAUGCAGUGUGAAAAACUCCGGUGGUAUAAGAUGGACCCGCGUUGGAUUAGCUAGUUGGUGAGGUAACGGCCCACCAAGGCGACGAUCCAUAGCCGACCUGAGAGGGUGACCGGCCACAUUGGGACUGAGACACGGCCCAAACUCCUACGGGAGGCAGCAGUGGGGAAUAUUGCACAAUGGGCGAAAGCCUGAUGCAGCGACGCCGCGUGAGCGAAGAAGUAUUUCGGUAUGUAAAGCUCUAUCAGCAGGGAAGAUAAUGACGGUACCUGACGAAGAAGCACCGGCUAAAUACGUG
RNAcentral lists this ribosomal RNA (480 nucleotides) under uncultured bacterium. RNAcentral's name for it is "partial 16S ribosomal RNA". It matches the Rfam family "Bacterial small subunit ribosomal RNA", at positions 29 to 507 of the family's 1533-position model. The record is from RNAcentral.